This 591-nucleotide ribosomal RNA is filed under the name uncultured Prevotella sp. RNAcentral describes it as "bacterial SSU rRNA". It matches the Rfam family "Bacterial small subunit ribosomal RNA", at positions 921 to 1533 of the family's 1533-position model. The record is from RNAcentral. Lineage: Bacteria; Pseudomonadati; Bacteroidota; Bacteroidia; Bacteroidales; Prevotellaceae.
CCGCACAAGCGGAGGAACCAUGUGGUUUAAUUUGGAUGAUACGCGAGGAACCUUACCCGGGCUUGAAUUGCAGAGGAAGGAUUUAGAGAUAAUGACGCCCUCGGGGGUCUCUGUGAAGGUGCUGCAUGGUUGUCGUCAGCUCGUGCCGUGAGGUGUCGGCUUAAGUGCCAUAACGAGCGCAACCCCUCUCUUCAGUUGCCAUCAGGUAAUGCUGGGCACUCUGGAGACACUGCCACCGUAAGGUGCGAGGAAGGUGGGGAUGACGUCAAAUCAGCACGGCCCUUACGUCCGGGGCUACACACGUGUUACAAUGGCCGGUACAGAGGGACGGUGUAAUGUAAAUUGCAUCUAAUCUUGAAAGCCGGUCCCAGUUCGGACUGGGGUCUGCAACCCGACCCCACGAAGCUGGAUUCGCUAGUAAUCGCGCAUCAGCCAUGGCGCGGUGAAUACGUUCCCGGGCCUUGUACACACCGCCCGUCAAGCCAUGAAAGCCGGGGGUGCCUGAAGUCCGUGACCGGAAGGAUCGGCCUAGGGCAAAACUGGUAAUUGGGGCUAAGUCGUAACAAGGUAGCCAAUCGAAUUCCCGCGGCC